AAAAGGAGAGUACAUCCUCUUCAACUGGCUGAAGGACAUAAUCAAUCAUUUUCGGUGGACUGCCGACACACGUGGGCAGUUUCUUGCAUUAUGGGUUGCGGGGGAAGAUGUGGAUCCAGAGAGACUCCCAGUGCCACAAAGCUUUAGUGGAUAUAGUUCUCGAUAAGAGGUGGCAGAAAGAUGUUCACAACUAUCUGCGAUUCAGAUCGACUGCAGACCUAGAGUCAUUCCAGAAUCAUAUCCUGAUGUAUGCCAGCAAGCGCUAUGCUUUCAGCCAACCAGUUUAUGAGAACAAUGAAAAUGUUGGACGGCAAAGAGAUUUUCAAAAGAUUGUAUAAGAAGAACGCUAGAAGAUACAGCGUAUAUGCCUUGAAAUCUGAAAAAACCUACGGAUACAUUUACGAGUUGUAAAGAAGGAUUGUGAAGAACAGACUCACAAGUGGAGUGGGGAUGCCUAGAAGGAGGAGCCUUCUCCCAGAUGACACCAGACAGCUUGGUUUGGUGCCCCCCGUACCUGCACCAGCCACAUCAGACUUGUUACAGAGACAAGUCAGAAGAGGUCUAGGACCGUUAUUCCAACCAGCAUCUGAUGUGGAAGGAUCUUGUCAGGCAGGAUCACGAGGGAAAAGAACUUCAGUUCACUGACAAAGUAGCUUUUACUCUUCAAAAAGAGAAAUUUAUUAACAUUAAAUUCUGUUCCUACCCUCCUCCAGUGGUAAUUUCAUGUUUUUCCAUUUUGUACACGUUUCAUCUUAUUCUGCUAAGUACACUGUGACCAGCGCAUAUUAUUUUCAGUAGGUAGCCUAAAUUACAGUUUACAAUUUGAACAGUAAUGAUAAGUA
Micropterus dolomieu (smallmouth bass) is the source of this 842-nucleotide long non-coding RNA. RefSeq lists it as uncharacterized. The record is from RefSeq and is a predicted model, not a curated record. The transcript has 5 exons. NCBI's taxonomy places the organism in Eukaryota, Metazoa, Chordata, Actinopteri, Centrarchiformes, Centrarchidae.